Long non-coding RNA from Fukomys damarensis (Damara mole-rat), 483 nucleotides. RefSeq lists it as uncharacterized. NCBI's taxonomy places the organism in Eukaryota, Metazoa, Chordata, Mammalia, Rodentia, Bathyergidae. The transcript is spliced from 3 exons. The record is from RefSeq and is a predicted model, not a curated record.
CACAGGGAACCUCCACAGCUCAGGCCAAAUGAAGCGUCACCAACUGUGGAGCUGCAUUUGCACACAAUCUCCAGAAGCGAAGGGGAAGUUGGUGGCUUCCAGGGCUGAAGGGAGGGACAAAUGGGGACUGACUGCUGACAGGGCUUCUUUAGGUGACGAUGCAGAUGUUCUGGAAUUCUGCAGUGAUGAUGGCCACACAGCGUUGUGAAGGGUUGUUAUCAAGAUUGGUGGUUCUACCUAAAUAUCCCUAGAAGACAGUUUGGCAUCUGCAACCCAAAGGUCGAUGUUUCCAUGAGUGCAACAUCACAGACAACACAAGCCGAAGCCACUGUGCCUUCGUGCGUGUGCCAGCGGGGCUCCAGCUUUCGCUUACAGAACACAGAUCCGCCGAACACCGCGCUGGGGCUGCUGUUGGCGCAUGGAGAAAAGUUAAAGGGAAAACCAGACGGGUUGCCCUCGAAGGGCUCACAAAAUAAUGGACAA